This 204-nucleotide ribosomal RNA is filed under the name Staphylococcus aureus. Its description in RNAcentral is "partial 16S ribosomal RNA". It matches the Rfam family "Bacterial small subunit ribosomal RNA", at positions 95 to 292 of the family's 1533-position model. The record is from RNAcentral. Lineage: Bacteria; Bacillati; Bacillota; Bacilli; Caryophanales; Staphylococcaceae.
GCGGCGGACGGGUGAGUAACACGUGGGCAACCUACCCUAUAGUUUGGGAUAACUCCGGGAAACCGGGGCUAAUACCGAAUAAUCUCUUUUGCUUCAUGGUAAGAGACUGAAAGACGGUUUCGGCUGUCGCUAUAGGAUGGGCCCGCGGCGCAUUAGCUAGUUGGUGAGGUAACGGCUCACCAAGGCGACGAUGCGUAGCCGACC